AGUGAACGCUGGCGGUAGGCCUAAUACAUGCAAGUCGAACGGCAGCACAGUAAUAGCUUGCUCUUACGGGUGGCGAGUGGCGGACGGGUGAGGAAUACAUCGGAAUCUACUUUUACGUGGGGGAUAACGUAGGGAAACUUACGCUAAUACCGCAUACGACCUACGGGUGAAAGCAGUGGAUCUUCGGACCUUGCGCGAUUGAAUGAGCCGAUGUCGGAUUAGCUAGUUGGCGGGGUAAAGGCCCACCAAGGCGACGAUCCGUAGCUGGUCUGAGAGGAUGAUCAGCCACACUGGAACUGAGACACGGUCCAGACUCCUACGGGAGGCAGCAGUGGGGAAUAUUGGACAAUGGGAGCAAGCCUGAUCCAGCCAUGCCGCGUGGGUGAAGAAGGCCUUCGGGUUGUAAAGCCCUUUUGUUGGGAAAGAAAAGCAGCAGGCUAAUACCCCGCUGUUCUGACGGUACCCAAAGAAUAAGCACCGGCUAACUUCGUG
RNAcentral lists this ribosomal RNA (492 nucleotides) under uncultured bacterium. RNAcentral describes it as "partial 16S ribosomal RNA". It matches the Rfam family "Bacterial small subunit ribosomal RNA", at positions 29 to 507 of the family's 1533-position model. The record is from RNAcentral.